CACGUAGGGGACGAGCGUUGUCCGGAUUCAUUGGGCGUAAAGCGCGCGUAGGCGGCUCGGAAAGUCGGUCGUGAAAUGCCGGGGCUCAACCCCGGGACUGCGUCCGAUACUCUCGAGCUGGAGGCAGGUAGGGGAGAUCGGAAUUCCUGGUGUAGCGGUGAAAUGCGCAGAUAUCAGGAGGAACACCGGUGGCGAAGGCGGAUCUCUGGGCCUGCACUGACGCUCAUGCACGAAAGCGUGGGGAGCAAACAGG
RNAcentral lists this ribosomal RNA (253 nucleotides) under uncultured bacterium. RNAcentral's name for it is "partial 16S ribosomal RNA". It matches the Rfam family "Bacterial small subunit ribosomal RNA", at positions 524 to 776 of the family's 1533-position model. The record is from RNAcentral.